RNAcentral lists this ribosomal RNA (114 nucleotides) under Sphenodon punctatus (tuatara). The record is from RNAcentral. Lineage: Eukaryota; Metazoa; Chordata; Lepidosauria; Sphenodontia; Sphenodontidae.
ACCUACAGCCACACAUCCCUGGACAUGCCUGAUCCGGUCUGAUCUCAGAAGCUAAGCAGUCCUAGGCCUGGCUUGUAGGGGUGGGACUCGAGGCGAAUUACUGGUUACCAGUUU